Molecule: ribosomal RNA, 279 nt
Filed under: uncultured bacterium
Lineage: Bacteria
Description: partial 16S ribosomal RNA
Rfam family: Bacterial small subunit ribosomal RNA
Source: RNAcentral
UGCCAGCCGCCGCGGUAAUACGGAGGGGGUUAGCGUUGUUCGGAAUUACUGGGCGUAAAGCGCACGUAGGCGGAUCGACAAGUUGGGGGUGAAAUCCCGGGGCUUAACCCCGGAACUGCCCUCAAAACUGUCGAUCUAGAGACCGGGAGAGGUAAGCGGAAUUCCUAGUGUAGAGGUGAAAUUCGUAGAUAUUAGGAAGAACACCAGUGGCGAAGGCGGCUUUCUGGACCGAUACUGACGCUGAGACGCGAAAGCGUGGGGAGCAAACAGGAUUAGAUA